Molecule: ribosomal RNA, 836 nt
Filed under: Arthrobacter sp.
Lineage: Bacteria; Bacillati; Actinomycetota; Actinomycetes; Micrococcales; Micrococcaceae
Description: bacterial SSU rRNA
Rfam family: Bacterial small subunit ribosomal RNA
Source: RNAcentral
UGAGAGCUGCGGCGUCUUAACACAUGCAAGUCGAACGAUGAUCCGGUGCUUGCAUCGGGGAUUAGUGGCGAACGGGUGAGUAACACGUGAGUAACCUGCCCUUGACUCUGGGAUAAGCCUGGGAAACUGGGUCUAAUACCGGAUAUGACCAUUCCGCGCAUGUGAUGGUGGUGGAAAGCUUUUGCGGUUUUGGAUGGACUCGCGGCCUAUCAGCUUGUUGGUGGGGUAAUGGCCUACCAAGGCGACGACGGGUAGCCGGCCUGAGAGGGUGACCGGCCACACUGGGACUGAGACACGGCCCAGACUCCUACGGGAGGCAGCAGUGGGGAAUAUUGCACAAUGGGCGAAAGCCUGAUGCAGCGACGCCGCGUGAGGGAUGACGGCCUUCGGGUUGUAAACCUCUUUCAGUAGGGAAGAAGCGAAAGUGACGGUACCUGCAGAAGAAGCGCCGGCUAACUACGUGCCAGCAGCCGCGGUAAUACGUAGGGCGCAAGCGUUAUCCGGAAUUAUUGGGCGUAAAGAGCUCGUAGGCGGUUUGUCGCGUCUGCUGUGAAAGACCGGGGCUCAACUCCGGUUCUGCAGUGGGUACGGGCAGACUAGAGUGAUGUAGGGGAGACUGGAAUUCCUGGUGUAGCGGUGAAAUGCGCAGAUAUCAGGAGGAACACCGAUGGCGAAGGCAGGUCUCUGGGCAUUAACUGACGCUGAGGAGCGAAAGCAUGGGGAGCGAACAGGAUUAGAUACCCUGGUAGUCCAUGCCGUAAACGUUGGGCACUAGGUGUGGGGGACAUUCCACGUUUUCCGCGCCGUAGCUAACGCAUUAAGUGCCCCGCCUGGAG